This 565-nucleotide long non-coding RNA is filed under the name Homo sapiens (human). Its description in RNAcentral is "non-protein coding lnc-SMPD3-2:5". Lineage: Eukaryota; Metazoa; Chordata; Mammalia; Primates; Hominidae. The record is from RNAcentral.
GGAGACACAAAGCACGGUUCACAAAGGGGGCCCGAGAGGGGCGAAGGGGGCUGCCCGGGGCACGGCUCAUCCCCACACCUGCGCGCGGGUUGGGGGAAGAAUGUGGCCGGCGCAUUCCUCUGCUGGGGCCAGCGGGGGAGAACUUCCCACGUCGAGACUGGGUGAGGGGCUCAGCCAUCCGGCAUCUCGGAGGAGGGGGUCAAGCGCCUGGCCGGGCUCCUGCUCCGCGCCUCCCGCCUCCAAGGUCACUUCAGCCUCCCUGAAGACCGCCCGGCACGGCUCGGAGGCCGCGCACUGCAGCCAGCAAACCUGCGCCCGAGGGCAGAGAGUGAAGGAGGCUGGGUCCAGGCGUGCCCGGCCCUGCACUCCCCACACCGCAGGGUCCUCACGGGCCUUCCGGGACUCCCUUGGCCCCAGGGAGCGCAGCCCCGCGCUCUCCCCGACGCCACUGCCCCAUGCGGACCCCGCCCGCCCCCCAGGGAGCGGUCCCGGUCGGGGCCACGGCGAGGCUGUGGAGUACCUGGAGAAGGAGGAGAGACGCGAGAGGUCCACGAGGGAGCCCCAU